This is a long non-coding RNA of Dama dama (fallow deer), 582 nucleotides long. RefSeq lists it as uncharacterized. The record is from RefSeq and is a predicted model, not a curated record. NCBI's taxonomy places the organism in Eukaryota, Metazoa, Chordata, Mammalia, Artiodactyla, Cervidae. The transcript is spliced from 3 exons.
CGGGACGCGGGGCCGGCAGAAGGGGGCGGACGCAAACGCACACUCAGAUCCAGACCCCCAGCGGAGAAAAGGGUCGGGAAGCGCCGGGUCCGAGUGCUCCCCGGGGUGGGUGAGGAUACCCCCGGGGCUCGUCUGCCUUCCCCCGAGGGAGCGGGUGGGGGAAGAGUCAAGGGGAAAGUCGUGCCCCCCGACAGCUGAACUAGUUUAGCAAGGAAAGCAGGGACAAAAGUCACUUUCCGGAGCAUAAAAGGCCGGGAAAGCGGCCGGCCGGACUCACAAAGGUGAAUCUGAUUUCACUUUGAGCUUCAGACAUGGCCAACCAAAACAUUGCAAACCUCUGACUUCAGUGAUCGAUUCUGGACAUCUGAACCAUAUGUUGAUAUCUAGGCCAGUUAAAUCAAAAGAAACAAAACAGUUCUGGAGCUGGAGCCAGUGUUGACUAUGAGCCAUGAAGAUGAGGCCAACACUCUAGAGGAGGCAGAACAACAAGGUAGAAGUAAUCUGGAUCCCUAAGUGACAACCUGGAUUGGAGCCACCUUCCUCCCUGGGACAACCCAUGAGAAAUAAACUGUUUUAUCUAAA